This is a long non-coding RNA of Populus nigra (black poplar), 861 nucleotides long. RefSeq lists it as uncharacterized. The record is from RefSeq and is a predicted model, not a curated record. The transcript has 3 exons. Lineage: Eukaryota; Viridiplantae; Streptophyta; Magnoliopsida; Malpighiales; Salicaceae.
GGCAGCAGUGCUUUUUAUCUUCUUUUUCCUCUGCUCAACUUCUGCCAUGCUCAGGUAUCUCAAAUUUGACACGGGUGGGUUGGCUGUUGCAGCUGCUUGGCUGGCCUUUCAUCACCUGUUUUUUUAGGUUUGAUGGGUUGUGGAGAGAGUUUUUGUUUGGCUGUGGCUCAACUUUUGUUGUCAACGCAGAAUCAAGCCCUUUUUCCCUGCUUUGUUUCUGCUAUGCUCAGCUCUGUCACGACUGAGUUGGCUGUUGCAGCUUUUUUGGGAUCCUUGGGCUGCAUUUCUGCUGGGUCUAUUGCAGGUUUGUGUUGUGUUAUCACUAUCUCUGCAGAAUCUUUUUUCGGUUGGUUUGCUGUAGCUUUUCAUUCCUAAGUGGAUGUUCUUCUUUCCCAGGUGUCGAUGGUCCACAUCUGGGCGUGGCUUACGUGGCUUCUUUGAUUUUUUUUGGCGUCGUUGUUGGUUUGUUUCUGUCUAAUUAGCGCGGGUUAUUGGCUGCUCUGUGGCUUGCCAACCAUGUGCUUGCUUUUGGGUCUGGAAGGAUGGCUGAGCUUUGUGUGGAUUGGUCAAGCUGCUUCCUCCCUGGAUCAUUGUCGACUCUGGCGCUCGUGGGAGGUGGUUGUAAUUUCCAGCUUUUUGUGGAUUGCUAAGCUUUGGGGGAGAAGUGAUCCCUGGGUCUGACUCAGCUUCUUCUCUAAAUUGAGCUAAAUGUGGUGGCUACUUCUUUCUAUGGCUGGGACAACAACAUCAUUAUGUAUUUAAUGCAUAAACCCACUUGGCCUCACCUUGGGUUUCUUCCCAACAUUGGGAGAGGUUAUUCUGCUUAGUUGAAGUUAAUUUAGGCAUUUAGGCCUUGUUUGU